GCCCUCGUUGAUUAAUGGUAAAUCACUCAUCAGAGAUCCGGAAGUUUUGUACGAUCCAGGGGGAGACGGAGGUUCGACUCCUUCCCAGGGCA
Mycena rebaudengoi is the source of this 92-nucleotide non-coding RNA. The record is from the annotation of a GenBank genome assembly. Lineage: Eukaryota; Fungi; Basidiomycota; Agaricomycetes; Agaricales; Mycenaceae.